GGGGUAAUCGGCUAGUUUGGUUUAGGCUUCGAGGUUCGGGACCUCGUGACCUGGGUUCAAAUCCCAGUUACCCCA
This 75-nucleotide transfer RNA is filed under the name Candidatus Aenigmarchaeota archaeon CG1_02_38_14. RNAcentral's name for it is "tRNA-Pro". It matches the Rfam family "tRNA". Rfam says of the family: Transfer RNA (tRNA) molecules are approximately 80 nucleotides in length. RNAcentral also lists the same sequence under 7 other names. The record is from RNAcentral. Lineage: Archaea; Nanobdellati; Candidatus Aenigmatarchaeota.